AUUAUACGUAAGUGUUGGAUAUUGAACUCAAAGCCUUUGAGUUAAAGUACAUUCCUAACCCUUUUUAUUUUUUUUAACUUUUAAAACAUUUUAAAAAAUCUCUAAAAAUUUUUUCUCCUUAUUUCGAGAUAGGGUCUUGCUGAGUCACUAAGUUGCCCAGGCUGACCUUUAACUUGCGAUCCUCCUGACUCAGCUUCCUGAGUAGCUUGGAUUACAGGCAUGCACCACCUCACCUGGGAAUAUUAUGUACUGGUAGUUGACAUUUGUAUUAAGAUAAUUUGUGCAUUCACAUCCAGUUAUAUGAAGUAAUGUAAAAAGUCCAAGUCCACUCUGCCCUGAGUCUCCCCCUGGCAAGAUUUGGAAAAACUUCUUAUCACAACCAGGAUAAUGACAUCAAUACAGUGCGGCACGUCUUUGCUGGGCGGGGAUCUAACCCAUGGCCUGGGCUGCUCUCCACCAGGCAGCUACAGCCCCAGCCCCAGCCUCCCCGCGGUACGAAGCUCUCCCCUGUUUGAGACCCGCUUCUCUGUUAGUUUGUUCAGUUCUGGACCACUUAUCAUGUGACCGUGUAUUUCUUUCCUGAAACAAAGCUUAGCGUAUUUCUACUCUAUCAAUCCUGAUGGUGUUAUUGUUGCUCAAAAUGCGUAUCUGCAUAUUUUUGUUUGCUUAAAAGUUUUAUUUUUCUUUUGCAUCAUAUGGUUUUGGUGUUAAGUCUGUUACUCAGGUCUUUUCUAGCGCUGUGGGUUGGACUCAUCUGUCUCUUAUCAAGAAUAAUUCGGAAGCAGUAUUAGCUCUAAGUGAGCAGAUCCUGACACCGGUGAGGUUACGUAACUUGUCUUAACCAUGCACAACUAAGACGGGAUGAUUCAGGGCUGAAAAGAGGCAGCUUGUCUCUGGGACCCAGUCUUUGAACUUCGAUGUUUUACAGCCUCAUUACCGAGAUUCCAAGUGUGGCUAUUAGUUGGCCUUAGUGGCACACGCCUGUGAUCCCAGCUACUUGGAAGACUGAGGCCAGAAGAUCGCAGACCCAGGCCACCGUGAGCAACCUCUGCAGACCCUGUCAUAACAAUAAAAGAAAAUAAAGCAGCUGGGAAUGUAGCUUUGUAUUAGAGUGCUUGCACAGCAUGCACGAGGGCCUGGGUUCAUUCCUUACCUCUAGUACCAGAAAGGAGGGGGUAGAACUAUAAUAAUAUAGGGUAUGUAAGCAAAGUCAUGGAGACUCAAAAUGCAUACAGUUACCCAUACAAACACUUGCAUCCAAAUAUGUCCACAGCAACAAUGUUAUUAUUGUUUUAAAAAGAAAUGGAAAAAUGAGAGGCUGCUGCCAUUCCAGGCCAACCUGGGCUAAAUAGUGAGUUUGAGGCCUGCAUGAACCACAAAGCAAAACCCUGUGUCCAAAAUAAUAAUAAUAAUAAAAACAACCCAAAUGUCCCACUCUAGAAUCAAUACACAAAGUGUGGCUUAUCCACGCAGAAUUAGAAGGAGUGGAUCACUGCUUGGGGGAAGUCCACCUUGUGCUUGAUUUCCCAGAGCUCUCAGGACUUAGCCGGGGCAGCUGAGCAGACGGGAGCUCACUCGGUGGGGAGCAGGAUGGGCGCAUGGUGCUCUGGUGUCCCCAGGUGGGCACUCGGGGCCUGACCACUGCCCAGCUGUGCAGGAGAGCUCAGCCCGGGACCCGGGGCUCUGCAAAAGUCUCCAUCCUUGCUAAAACUGCUGCCAAAUGUGUGGCUUCCACCAGAAGCGAGAAGAAAUCUCCACGUUGGUUCUUCCAGGAACAGAAAUGGCUCGGUGAACACCUCGUCUCUCGGAGCUCCAGCUCAGAGUCCGCUGCCUGCUUCUGUCCACCUGCUCUCGUGGGUUGCAUUUGAAAUGGCAGUGCAAGUGUCUGUCAAAAUGAAAAACAUCAGCCUUGGAUUCGAGUCUGUGCACUUUGAAAGAAGAUCUCACAGCAAGGAAAAGUAUUCAUCAGCGGGGUUCAGCAAAGGAUGCGCUCGGUAAUGAAGCUGAUCUGGGCCUUCAGCAGCUUUUUGCAGGUAGCUGUGUUGUUUUCUCUGGAAGCAGAGAUGCUUGACAAUGAGAGCGAGGUUACUUCAGUCUCCUCGUAUAGGGCAAACUCUAAGCAUCACUUCAGGGAAAGUGAGAUAUAAAAAGAACCCUUCUGUGUCCCUCUGAAGAACACAACUCCAUCUGAAGAUGGAUUUCACACCUAAACAGCCGUGCUACAAAGAAAGACAAGAACAUGCAUCAAAUCCCCAUUUUCUGGGUUUACUACUCCCCAAAGUAGUAAGCUCCCGAGUGACUCUUUGAGGAAAAAUUCAGUCUCACUAAAAACUUAGAUGAUAAUCAUUUCAGUAAAUGAAGGAAAUGGUUUCUAGUUUUGAAAAUGUCAGGUAAGGUACAAAAAUGCAAAAGCAGGAGACCAGGAAAUUCAAAAGAAUUUACUGAUUUCUUUUUUUACUUAACUUUAUUGGUACUCAGCCAAUUUAUUUUCCUUACUACUUAGUAAACUCAGGCAAGGAAUUCAUUCCGUUAUCUAUCCGAUCACUUGGGUAAAGUCUUAGUGAAAACUUAUUAACACAGUGAUGUAAAAAUUAGAUUGCAGUCCAGUGGAGAUUCAUAUGGCCUGGGAAAAAUCUUGAGACUUCUUCUUCAGGACUUCAGUUUAACAAAAUAUUGGACUGAUGGUCAUGUGGGAAAUAGAAAACAUCCAUGUCUCUAAGAAUAUGUAUUUAAUUCAUAAUAGAAAUGGCUUCAGCAGACCAUAGAUCUGUGUGCUAACG
This is a long non-coding RNA of Heterocephalus glaber (naked mole-rat), 2780 nucleotides long. Lineage: Eukaryota; Metazoa; Chordata; Mammalia; Rodentia; Bathyergidae. The record is from Ensembl.